UACGAAGGGGGCUAGCGUUGUUCGGAAUUACUGGGCGUAAAGCGCGCGUAGGCGGUCUUCCAAGUCAGUGGUGAAAGCCCGGAGCUCAACUCCGGAACUGCCAUUGAAACUGUUGGACUUGAGUACGAGAGAGGUGAGUGGAAUUCCCAGUGUAGAGGUGAAAUUCGUAGAUAUUGGGAAGAACACCGGUGGCGAAGGCGGCUCACUGGCUCGUAACUGACGCUCAGGCGCGACAGCGUGGGGAUCAAACAGG
Molecule: ribosomal RNA, 253 nt
Filed under: uncultured bacterium
Lineage: Bacteria
Description: partial 16S ribosomal RNA
Rfam family: Bacterial small subunit ribosomal RNA
Source: RNAcentral